This 641-nucleotide long non-coding RNA is filed under the name Coccomyxa subellipsoidea. RNAcentral describes it as "long non-coding RNA (CSUB_LNC000657)". Lineage: Eukaryota; Viridiplantae; Chlorophyta; Trebouxiophyceae; Coccomyxaceae. The record is from RNAcentral.
UUGGUCAAAAGCUCCGCUGCCGCUUUCACGCCCAACCUUUCCCAUCCUGGAAUCCAACUCAGAAUGUUGGCUGCCCUGCCUGUGAUUAGCACGUGUACUGUAUCCAUGAGAGAGACAGACGCUGGGCAGGCCAUUCAGGUUUCGACUCGUCUUACUAUUGAGAAUGCCUAUUUAUUAGUCUAUCGGGAUGUACGAAAUCAACGUCUGGAAGGAGAUAGGCCCACAUGAGCACCUGGACCAUCAGUGUCGCAUUCCCAACAUGUCCCUGAGCUGCUUCAGCUGGACACGCCCAUUGCUCAGGCUAUAUUUCAUCGCAUAUGAAUCUUUUGCCCCUCGAUCUCUUUCGAAUCCGUGUCUGAUCUCCUUCUUAAGUUCACCUGCCAAGUGCGGAGGCCAUCAGUGAUCGAAAGCACCUAGGAGGAUUUGGCAAAGCUAAUAAUCUACAUAUGAAGCGCACAUAUUUUACACGCUGUCUCGAAACCUUGCCGGAACAGUGUUUAAUCGAAAACGUGUGCAUCUGACAUAUCCCAAUCAAAUUUGGGCAUCGAUCUGUGCUGAAAGUCUGAAGUAGAAGACUUUCCAGAGUAAAUAGAGAAUUCCACCUUGAGAAGCAACGGGAGCACCCUUCACCGCCCUCAGGA